Molecule: long non-coding RNA, 551 nt
Organism: Anthonomus grandis grandis
Lineage: Eukaryota; Metazoa; Arthropoda; Insecta; Coleoptera; Curculionidae
Exons: 2
Source: RefSeq, a predicted model, not a curated record
UUUAAAUGGUAAUUUUGUUUAUUUAUUUAUUUAUAAGCAGCUGAGUGAAAAUAAUGCAAAUUUUUUGAAAAAAAUUGCAGGGUAUGGUAUGUUGUAGCUGCUGUAGCAUUGAAGUUGAUAAUAAUGACCAGGAAAGGCCUAAUCCAACCCAGUCAUUUUGUAAAAGAAGAAAAAAUAUAAUAAUUAGAAUAACCCUCAUAGUUGUUGUGGUAAUAAUGAUUACUGCGGGGAUUACAGCUGCACUAAUUAAUUUAGUUAAUAAAUAGGCUGGACAAUUGAUUUAUUCGCUUCCUCAAGGGACUAAAGCAACAAAAAAUAUAUAUAUUAUUAAUUUCUGUACAUCGAAGAAGAUCUAUGUCAAAAUUACAUUAAUUUAAGAUAAAAAUACAAACUUUACUUUUUAUAAAUAAAUAUGAUAAUUAUUAAAAGGCAAAUUGAUAAAACGAACGACACCGCGAUAAAAACCACUAGGCCUAUUAUGAUAAUAAGCCUAUAAUAAUCAUUUUUUCUUUCCUUAGAAUUUGACCUGUAAAUACAAAUUUUAUAAUGAA